RNAcentral lists this transfer RNA (83 nucleotides) under Gammaproteobacteria bacterium. RNAcentral describes it as "tRNA-Leu". It matches the Rfam family "tRNA". From Rfam's summary of the family: Transfer RNA (tRNA) molecules are approximately 80 nucleotides in length. Their secondary structure includes four short double-helical elements and three loops (D, anti-codon, and T loops). Lineage: Bacteria; Pseudomonadati; Pseudomonadota; Gammaproteobacteria. The record is from RNAcentral.
GCCGGGGUGGCGAAAUGGUAAACGCAGGGGACUUAAAAUCCCCCGGGGGCAACCCCUUAUGAGUUCGAGUCUCAUCCCCGGCA